Molecule: ribosomal RNA, 447 nt
Filed under: uncultured bacterium
Lineage: Bacteria
Description: bacterial SSU rRNA
Rfam family: Bacterial small subunit ribosomal RNA
Source: RNAcentral
CAGGGAAUCUUGCACAAUGGGCGAAAGCCUGAUGCAGCGACGCCGCGUGGGGGAUGAAGGCCUUAGGGUCGUAAACCCCUUUCAGCAGGGACGAAAAUGACGGUACCUGCAGAAGAAGCCCCGGCCAACUACGUGCCAGCAGCCGCGGUAAGACGUAGGGGGCGAGCGUUGUCCGGAUUUAUUGGGCGUAAAGAGCUCGUAGGCGGUUGCGUAAGUCGGAUGUGAAAACUCAGGGCUCAACCCUGAGACGCCAUCCGAUACUGCGCUGACUUGAAUCCAGUAGGGGAGUGUGGAAUUCCUGGUGUAGCGGUGAAAUGCGCAGAUAUCAGGAGGAACACCCAUGGCGAAGGCAGCACUCUGGGCUGGUAUUGACGCUGAGGAGCGAAAGCAUGGGUAGCGAACAGGAUUAGAUACCCUGGUAGUCCUGAGCGGGCUGGCAAGGCGCAU